This 520-nucleotide unclassified non-coding RNA is filed under the name uncultured Glomus. Its description in RNAcentral is "SSU rRNA". It matches the Rfam family "Eukaryotic small subunit ribosomal RNA", at positions 569 to 1088 of the family's 1831-position model. The record is from RNAcentral. Lineage: Eukaryota; Fungi; Glomeromycota; Glomeromycetes; Glomerales; Glomeraceae.
AGCAGCCGCGGUAAUUCCAGCUCCAAUAGCGUAUAUUAAAGUUGUUGCAGUUAAAAAGCUCGUAGUCGAAUCUCGAGAUCAAAUUGUUGGUCGUGCCUUGGUACGCACUGGCAUUAUUGGUUUCUCCCUUCUGACGAACCAUGAUGUCAUUAAUUUGGUGUCUUGGGGAAUCAGGACUGUUACUUUGAAAAAAUUAGAGUGUUUAAAGCAGGCUCACGCUUGAAUACAUUAGCAUGGAAUAAUGAAAUAGGACGUUUGAUUCUAUUUUGUUGGUUUCUAGGAUCGACGUAAUGAUUAAUAGGGAUAGUUGGGGGCAUUAGUAUUCAAUUGUCAGAGGUGAAAUUCUUGGAUUUAUUGAAGACUAACUACUGCGAAAGCAUUUUGCCAAGGAUGUUUUCAUUAAUCAAGAACGAAAGUUAGGGGAUCGAAGACGAUCAGAUACCGUCGUAGUCUUAACCAUAAACUAUGCCGACUAGGGAUCGGAUGAUGUUAAUUUUUUUAAUGACUCAUUUCGGCGCCU